RNAcentral lists this ribosomal RNA (256 nucleotides) under uncultured bacterium. RNAcentral describes it as "partial 16S ribosomal RNA". It matches the Rfam family "Bacterial small subunit ribosomal RNA", at positions 524 to 777 of the family's 1533-position model. The record is from RNAcentral.
UACGGGGGGGGGCAAGCGUUGUUCGGAAUUACUGGGCGUAAAGGGCGGCGUAGGCGGUGCUCUAAGUCGGAUGUGAAAACUCUGGGCUCAACCCAGAGCCUGCAUCCGAAACUGGAGUGCUAGAGUUCUGGAGGGGGUAGCGGAAUUCCUGGUGUAGCGGUGAAAUGCGUAGAUAUCUGGAGGAACACCGGUGGCGAAGGCGGCAUCCUGGACCAACACUGACGCUGAGGAGCGAAAGCCAGGGGAGCAAAGCGGG